This 69-nucleotide transfer RNA is filed under the name Eristalinus euzonus. RNAcentral describes it as "tRNA-Cys". The record is from RNAcentral. Lineage: Eukaryota; Metazoa; Arthropoda; Insecta; Diptera; Syrphidae.
GGUUUUAUAGUCAAUAAUGAUAUUAGAAUGCAAUUCUAAAGGAAUAAUUUAAAUUAAUUAUUAAGACUU